GCCACCGUAGCUCAAUUGGCAGAGCAGCGGUUUUGUAAACCGCAGGUUCGGGGUUCGAAUCCCCGCGGUGGCU
RNAcentral lists this transfer RNA (73 nucleotides) under Phycisphaerae bacterium. Its description in RNAcentral is "tRNA-Thr". It matches the Rfam family "tRNA". From Rfam's summary of the family: Transfer RNA (tRNA) molecules are approximately 80 nucleotides in length. Their secondary structure includes four short double-helical elements and three loops (D, anti-codon, and T loops). The record is from RNAcentral. Lineage: Bacteria; Pseudomonadati; Planctomycetota; Phycisphaerae.